Vespa mandarinia (Asian giant hornet) is the source of this 294-nucleotide long non-coding RNA. Lineage: Eukaryota; Metazoa; Arthropoda; Insecta; Hymenoptera; Vespidae. The record is from RefSeq and is a predicted model, not a curated record.
AGACAAAAUAUAUAUAUAUAUAUAUAUAUAUAUAUACAUAUAUAUACACAUAUAUAAAUAUUGUCUAUAAAUUCGAGACAAUUAAUGAAAGUAACACGAUGCGUUCUACUAUAAACAAGAUGAGAACUAUAAUAGAAUUAUGUUUAAUAUAGUUGUCUUUCAUUUUCGAUAUGAUUGCGAAUUUCUGUAUUCAAUAAUGUAAUGAAUACGAAACACGUAACGCGAUUGUUUGUAUCUGUUUUAUAACGUAUUGAAUUCAUUAUCGAAAUAUAAAAUUCUAAUAAAUAUCUUAAA